UUAGGAAUCUUGCGCAAUGGGCGAAAGCCUGACGCAGCCAUGCCGCGUGAAUGAUGAAGGUCUUAGGAUUGUAAAAUUCUUUCAGCGGGGAAGAUAAUGACGGUACCCGCAGAAGAAGCUCCGGCUAACUUCGUGCCAGCAGCCGCGGUAAUACGAAGGGGGCUAGCGUUGCUCGGAAUUACUGGGCGUAAAGGGCGCGUAGGCGGACGACUAAGUCGGGGGUGAAAGCCCGGGGCUCAACCUCGGAACUGCCUUCGAUACUGGUCAUCUUGAGUACGGGAGAGGUGUGUGGAACUCCGAGUGUAGAGGUGAAAUUCGUAGAUAUUCGGAAGAACACCAGUGGCGAAGGCGACACACUGGCCCGUUACUGACGCUGAGGCGCGAAAGCGUGGGGAGCAAACAGGAUUAGAUACCCCUGUAGUCC
This 424-nucleotide ribosomal RNA is filed under the name uncultured bacterium. RNAcentral's name for it is "bacterial SSU rRNA". It matches the Rfam family "Bacterial small subunit ribosomal RNA", at positions 355 to 796 of the family's 1533-position model. The record is from RNAcentral.